AUCUGAUUUGCACAAACAUAGUUAUCUGCGUGUGCUGCCUGACUUGGUAUUUGUUAUAUCCUUUUGGUUGAAUGGAUGGUGGUGCCACUACAGUGGUAGUUUAUUCAGGUUGCUAUGAGGUUAAUCCCUUUGGAAACAUUCUUUGAGAAUUUUGUAAUGCUUCCUUUGGGGUGGUGAUACACUAUCGCGCAAGUUCUAUGGUAUGCGAGUUCCUGUUGUUGGUGCAAGCAUUGAUAAAAUAUGUCAUGUGCAGGGAGCUCCGCAUCUGAGUCUCGGCCAUGCUCCACAGCAAGGAGCUGGGCCAGGGGAGAAAGCAGCGAUGUUGGUUCCUUGAGGCCGGAUCAAGAAUUUUACUAUGUUUUGUGUUCUUCAUGUAUGUCCAGUUUCACAUUGCUGGUGUUUCAUGCCAUAUUCAUCAAUCCUACUCACAUGCCUUAUGGUUGAGUAACUUGAUUAGUAUUGAUGCCACUAUCCUAUCUCAAUAAACUGUUUGUUUUUUCAGUAGCAAAUAAAUAAAUAAAGUAAAUCUACUAUAUCUUGGUAUUCUAGAAUUUCGGUGCCUAACAGAAGUUGCUUUAUGUCCUGCUUUAGCUUGGAAACCUGAUGAUUUGUUGUUUGUUAUCAUUUCUUAAGUUUGAAAUGUUUCAAAAUCUCGUGUGCCCCGGUCCUUGAAUAGAUAUGUAUGCACCUUAGUAGUAAUAAAUACAUUGGUCAUGUAAAUAUCACUGGGAACUAUAUCUGUGUCCAUAUGUUCUUGCCAGCAUUAAAUGUUGUAAGUAGAGGUUAGAAAUGCAGAACUGGGAUGUUGCGCUGGAAGUUUCAGCUUCACGUCUUCUUAGGUUUAACUGUUGGUUUACAUUGAAACUGUAGCAAGUGUCAAAUGAUGGUUUCUUACAAGCGCACAUAACUAUUGGUUGUGCAAUUUGUCUAGUAAUCUAGGUGCACAUAAGUAUCAGGCCAUAUGUUUUCUUAUAAGCAAACUAUAUUGGUGGUUGUAAGAUAUAACUUAAAAUAUACUAGUGCUAUCGUGAUUUUCAUACUAAAUGCCAUUCAUUUAUCAGUCUGAUUUUUUUAUGCUUCUAAUGCGUGAUCCUUCCAAUGCUAGGUGAUUUGAUUUUCAGAAGUUGGAAGAAGAGGACGAUGAAGCAUGGAGUUUUCUAUUAAUCUACCUCUUGUUCUGGUUGUACUCUGUAGCUAGUUAUAUUGUAAUCGGUAGUAGUCAGUAGAUCUAUUUCUAUGAAUACUAUGUAAAGACUGUAAUAGGCUAAUUUUGCAUAUCAUUUCAAGAAUUUAGUUUUGUUCCAUUUGAAAUAUUUGUUUUUUGUGUACUGUGAAAGCUUGAGAAGUAAAAAGUUGGCAAGUUGGACCAACUUAAUGAAAAAGGCCAAGUCCCCAAAAGUAAAUGGAGUGUAAAAU
Molecule: long non-coding RNA, 1416 nt
Filed under: Triticum aestivum (bread wheat)
Lineage: Eukaryota; Viridiplantae; Streptophyta; Magnoliopsida; Poales; Poaceae
Description: long non-coding RNA (TAES_LNC022722)
Source: RNAcentral